GGAGAUAGCUCAGUGAUAGAGUGCAUGCUUAGCAUGCAUGAAGUCCUGGGUUCAAUCCCCAGUAACUCCA
Molecule: transfer RNA, 70 nt
Filed under: Camelus bactrianus (Bactrian camel)
Lineage: Eukaryota; Metazoa; Chordata; Mammalia; Artiodactyla; Camelidae
Also listed under: 2 other names
Rfam family: tRNA
About the family: Transfer RNA (tRNA) molecules are approximately 80 nucleotides in length. Their secondary structure includes four short double-helical elements and three loops (D, anti-codon, and T loops).
Source: Rfam by way of RNAcentral